AUGCAGACUCGCGCCAACACUGAUUUGACAAUGGAGAAGGUGGAUUUCAAGGGGAAGACCGCGGGAAAGCUGGUCGGCGAACCCGCAGAUGCAGAGGGCAAGAUCAGGGAGAUGAUGGAGCGUCUCAAUCUCACUUCGGCAGAGGCGGACGCCCUCAUCUUGGAGGAUGAGAAUGAAGCUGAUUUGGUGAAUCUCGAAUUUGCCUUAAUUGGUAAGGUAUUAUCCCCACAUACUCUGCAUAUACAGACUAUCAUGUCGGCACUUAGACCAGCUUGGGGGAAUCCAAAAGGUCUGGAUGCAAAACCAGUGUCAAACAAUAUUUUCAUUGUUGAGUUUGCAACUAAAUCAGACAAAGAAAGAGUGAAAGAUGGUGCUCCAUGGACAGUGGGGAAACAUGCGGUGUUGCUCAAUGAAUUUGAUCCGAAGCAGAAACCCUCUGAUGUUGUUUUCAAGACCAUUGUGUUGUGGGAAAGAAUCAUGAACUCUCGUUUUGAGCUAAUGAAUAAGCACUGGGGGGAGUUACUUGGAGCGAAAAUUGGAAAAGUUGAGAAGGUGGAUGUCGACGGUCAAGGGAGGGCAUCAGGAGAUUGCUUGCGGGUAAGGGUCUCUGUGGAUAUAACAAAACCACUAAUGAGAUAUGUCACUUCCUACUCAUUGAAGCUUAAGGAUUACGAAAGGUAUGAGGUGAAAUAUGAGAGACUCCCCCAUUAUUGUUUCUCAUGUGGGAUUCUUGGCCACUCUUCUAUAGAAUGCCCAAAUCCAGGAGAAAGGGAUGCCGAGGGUAAACUCCCAUACAAUGCAGACAAAUUAUGUAUGAAGGAGGAGAAAAGAAAGAGUUCCGCGGGAUCAAAAUCUGGUCAAAGCUUGCAAUCCAGUGGUAGAAGCUCUUAUCAUGAAGAUAAUUGCUGGGAAGCACAACCAGCUCCAAAGGACAUAUCAGGCGCAAAGAAAUCAGAAUCAGAGGAGGUUCAAGAUGAGAUCAUUUCUCCAAUAAAGUUACAAGACCAAAGUAUGAAACAGAAAGUUAUACAAAAGCUUGGGAAGGUGAGCAAGGAGCUCUUUCCACUUCGGACCGAGGCUACCAAAAUAGCCAGGCAAAAGAGAAAGCAAAUUAAGGUCUACAGACCUAAAGGGCAGGGUCAGAAUCCUCAAGAGAAGCUGAUGCAAGAGACUUACAACCUUGACCUGACAGCAAGUGGACUAGACACUAAUACCUGCGAUACUAAUCUGGUUCUAGUUCCAUGUAGGUAUGAAAAUCAAGAUGAUUGCUAUAAGAAGCAGAAGAAGGAAACCAUCGCUCAUACAUCAGGAUCGGCGGAUCAGGCGGUGGCUGCAGCAGAGCAGCCCCGCCACACGCAAUGA
Molecule: ribosomal RNA, 1362 nt
Filed under: Triticum aestivum (bread wheat)
Lineage: Eukaryota; Viridiplantae; Streptophyta; Magnoliopsida; Poales; Poaceae
Description: partial small subunit ribosomal RNA
Source: RNAcentral